RNAcentral lists this ribosomal RNA (440 nucleotides) under uncultured bacterium. RNAcentral describes it as "partial 16S ribosomal RNA". It matches the Rfam family "Bacterial small subunit ribosomal RNA", at positions 338 to 795 of the family's 1533-position model. The record is from RNAcentral.
CCUACGUGAGGCAGCAGUGGGGAAUAUUGCACAAUGGGGGAAACCCUGAUGCAGCGACGCCGCGUGAGUGAAGAAGUAAUUCGUUAUGUAAAGCUCUAUCAGCAGGGAAGAAAAUGACGGUACCUGAGUAAGAAGCCCCGGCUAACUACGUGCCAGCAGCCGCGGUAAUACGUAGGGGGCAAGCGUUAUCCGGAUUUACUGGGUGUAAAGGGAGCGUAGACGGCAGUGCAAGUCUGGAGUGAAAGGCGGGGGCUCAACCCCCGGACUGCUCUGGAAACUGUCCGGCUGGAGUGCAGGAGAGGUAAGUGGAAGUCCUAGUGUAGCGGUGAAAUGCGUAGAUAUUAGGAGGAACACCAGUGGCGAAGGCGGCUUACUGGACUGUAACUGACGUUGAGGCUCGAAAGCGUGGGGAGCAAACAGGAUUAGAUACCCGAGUAGUC